This 746-nucleotide non-coding RNA is filed under the name Freysuila caesalpiniae. Lineage: Eukaryota; Metazoa; Arthropoda; Insecta; Hemiptera; Psyllidae. The record is from RNAcentral.
AAUAUAUUUUAUUUUAGUAAAAAAUGUUUCUUUUUCUUCUUUUAUUUACAUGUUUAUUUUUGUGUAUUGUACUUAAAUAGUUAAAAUGCAGUAAUUAUAAUUAAGUAUUUUAGAAAUUUAGACUUAGAAAUUGAGCAUAGAUUUAACCAAUUUUGUGCCAGCAGUUGCGGUUAGACAAUAAAGUCAAAGAAAUUUUUAAGACAAAUUAAUUAUUUUAAUUAAAUGAUUAUGACUGAUAAUUUUAAGGUAAAAUUUUAAUUUUCAUUAUUUUUCUAUAAUAUUAAUUAAGAAAUUUUAAACUUAAAUUAGGAUUAGAUACCCUAUUAUUUAAAAUGUAAAUUUGUUGGAGUAGUAAAAGCUAUGAUCUUAAAACUCAAAUAAUUUGGCGGUAUUUUAUCUUAUUAGAGGAACCUGUUUAAUAAUUGAUAUUCCACAACUUUAAUUUACUUUUAUUAAAUUACUUGUAUACCGCUGUCAUGAAUCUAUUAAUAAAUAUAUUUUCUUUUUUUUUAUUGAAGUUAUGUUAGGUCAAGGUGCAGUAUGUAAAAGAACAAAAUGGGUUACAUUAAAUAUUAUGAAUGAAUUUUAAAUAUUUUAAUUAAUGAAAGUGGAUUUAUUAGUAAAGAUAAAUAAAGAUUUUAUAUGAAUAUAGAUUCUAAAAUAUGUACACAUUGCCCGUCGCUCUUGCUCAAAGUAAGAUAAGUCGUAACAUAGUAGGUGUACCGGAAGGUGUACCUGGAAGUGAG